AGUUCUCGGCAAGGAUCUGCAGCUCUUUAUAGCUCCCACGUGGACGCGCGUGUAAAAACAAGACUCGAUCACGUCUACGCGCUUCCGUUUCUAGAAGCAGCGUCAGCAGGUCUCCUCUCGUUCCGCGUGCGGCGGCACCGCCGGCCCGGGACUCAGGAGUCGCUGCCUUGUUGUUAUUUCAUCAUUCAUGGUCACUCACAUCUCUGUUGUUUAGAUCCGUAAACGGGCGGAGUGUCCUCGGGGUGCUGGGCUAUUACCGAAACCCCUCCAGAUGGGCCCCGCGAAGGUCAUCUCCAUGUCAUGAUGCAGCGAUAUUCAGAAAACACCACAAAUGGACACGUGUCAGCGGGGCAGUUCAAGGCUGAGUAGAGCUUGCGCGAGGGUACCGAGGACGUGGGACUCGAACCAGCAACUAUUUGGUUAACUGGGAUGCGUGCGACCCAAAAACUGCGGGAGUGAAAGUUUCACAGGGAACUUCGUUGUCGAGAACUCGGCAAGCAGCAGUAAUGUGUUGUCACAAAAUAACUCGGCCGAUGUUGUGCGACCUGCGGUUUGACCCGCGCCCCUCUGUGGAACUGUGCCCUUAGUGACACCUAUCGGCCAAUAUGAGGAACUGCAACCAAAACUUAAAGACCAGCACACCCCAGUUCCACCCCACGGCUAUCAGAUGUCCUCUGUGCCAAAAGGACCAAAGUCUGGGCUGCAGAGCCACGAUGGUGGAAAUCAAAGGAUCUCACAGACCUGGAAGUUUACAAGGAUCUCCUAGAAACCUUCCACUCUGCUGUUUCUUCAGCUAAAACCACCUUCAUCCACAACAAACUGCAGUCUGCAAUUAGCAAACCACACAGGCUCUUUGUCUCCUUCUCCCUCCUCUCUCACUACUGACAAUUUCGCCUUGUUUUUCAGAGACAAAGUCAACUCCAUCGUCGACAUGUUCUCUGCGACCACCUGCUCCCAUCAUGCUGGACCUCCCUGUGAAGUCACUUUCUCCUCAUUUAAUCCCAACCUCCUGCUGUCACACAGUGACCACCUGCUCCUUCAAACCAAUCCCUUCACCACUCCUACAGGAAAUUUCCCCACAACUCACCUCCUUCAUCUCCAAGAUCAUCAACUCUUCACUCUUCAGGCUGCUUCCCAGAAACUCUGGAACGGGCAACCUGUGAUCAGUUAUCUGCAUUCCUCACCCAGAAUGAUCUCCUCAAUGGGUAUCAGUCUAGAUUCAAAGCUGGAUAUUCCACUGAGACAGCUCUCUUGGCAGUGUGAAAUGUUCUCCAGUUCGCUAGUGACCUCCCUCUCCUCAGUCCUCAUCCUCCUCAACCUGUCUGCAGCAUUAGAUACUGUCAAUCACCA
This is a long non-coding RNA of Scleropages formosus (Asian bonytongue), 1350 nucleotides long. RefSeq lists it as uncharacterized. Lineage: Eukaryota; Metazoa; Chordata; Actinopteri; Osteoglossiformes; Osteoglossidae. The record is from RefSeq and is a predicted model, not a curated record. The transcript is spliced from 5 exons.